UUCGGAGGCAGCAGUGAGAAUCUUGCGCAAUGGGCGAAAGCCUGACGCAGCGACGUCGCGUGACCGAUGAAGUCUUUCGGGAUGUAAAGGUCUUUUUUGGGGGAAGAAGGAUGUGACGGUACCCCAAGAAUAAGCCCCGGCUAACUACGUGCCAGCAGCCGCGGUAAUACGUAGGGGGCGAGCGUUGUCCGAAUUCACUGGGCGUAAAGCGCGCGUAGGCGGGUUAUUAAGUUGGAGGUGAAAUCCCGGGGCUCAACCCCGGAACUGCCCCCAAAGCUGGUAGCCUUGAGGUAUGGAGAGGGAAGUGGAAUUCCAGGUGUAGCGGUGAAAUGCGUAGAUAUCUGGAGGAACACCCGUGGCGAAGGCGGCUUCCUGGUCAUAUCCUGACGCUGAGGUGCGAAAGCUAGGGGAGCGAACGGGAUUAGAUACCCGUGUAA
This 437-nucleotide ribosomal RNA is filed under the name uncultured bacterium. Its description in RNAcentral is "bacterial SSU rRNA". It matches the Rfam family "Bacterial small subunit ribosomal RNA", at positions 341 to 793 of the family's 1533-position model. The record is from RNAcentral.